Non-coding RNA from Callorhinus ursinus (northern fur seal), 204 nucleotides. Lineage: Eukaryota; Metazoa; Chordata; Mammalia; Carnivora; Otariidae. The record is from RefSeq and is a predicted model, not a curated record.
AACACAGUUAUCAGAGUAUCACAAGUUGGCCAGAAAACUAAAACUUAUCCCUAAGGGUGCUGAAAAUUCCAAAGGUUAUGACUUUGAAAUUAAGUUUAAUCCUGAAGCUGGAGCCAACUGCCUUGUCAAAUACAGAGCUCAAGUUUAUGUACCACUCAAGGAACUCUUGAACCAAACUGAAGAAGAAAUUAAUAAAGCUCUAAA